Non-coding RNA from Odocoileus virginianus texanus, 1791 nucleotides. Lineage: Eukaryota; Metazoa; Chordata; Mammalia; Artiodactyla; Cervidae. The record is from RefSeq and is a predicted model, not a curated record.
CAGCCUCCUGAGCUUCUUCAGGAGCGGCUUUGCGUUUCAGGCCUUUCUUUCCGCUGCCUCCGCUCUUAUCUCCGGCCUUCGCCAUGAUCUAGAGGCUAAGCUAAAUAUUGUUGAGGAAAAAAGACAUCAUGCUUGCCCUCAAGUAGCUUACAGUUUGGAAGAAGAUAAAACAGAAUUCUAGUUGAAUUCUCAGGAACAAAGCCCUUGAUGAAAUCAAAUGUGGAUCCUGUAAAAGAGGCAGAUGCAUGAAGUUUGAAACAGUGAAUAACCUCGGAGCUUAGCAGUAUAGAGAAGAUGGAGACAAAAAGGAAAAGGCCCCAAAGGAAGAAAAAGCCAUUAAAGGAAACUGGAGAAAAGAAUGAGAACUUGAAAGAGGAGAAGAAGAAGAGAACCAAUACUCAAAAUAUUUUGAAAGUUUUAAAAAGCAAAAGAUUAGAAUUAGUUAACAACCCUUUUCACAAGUGUUUCUUAUGCUUCCUCUCCUCAUUUUACAUCUGCUUCCUGCCCCCGCUCCCACCGCAUCUAUCUCCCCCUCCCCAAGUCUUUCUGAUACCAGACACUUCACAAAAAUAAUACUGGUUUUGUACAUGUUCUUUCAAUAUAUGUAUUUUAUCUAUUGCUCAUCAUUACUUGGGUUCCUCUAAUUAAAUAAGAACUGCUUCUAACUGCUUUAUCAUUACUGGUAACGAAGUUGUCCUUCUUGUGAGGGACUGCCUGAGGAGAUGAUCCAGGCAGCAAAUCAGGAUUUGAACCUACCUCUUAAUUCUCUUCUCAGGAUGGAAGCGUCUUGUACUAUGGACCUCAUCAAGUUGUUUUAUAUUCUUGUUCAUGUUUAUAUUUGGGGAUUUUUUUUAAGGAUUUUUUUUAACCUGCAUAUCCUUGGUAUUAUUUGAAAACUGUUGUUUGACUUCAGCUCUUUUCUUGGAUAUGAAUAUAGCCAAUAGUAAUAUUUAUGGUACUUUGUACAAGAGUGAGGGCAAAUAAAACCUAGUUCAUUCCUUUUAUUAUAGAUGUGCCUUCUAAGGAGAAACUACCCUGAGAUGAAGGUAGCAUCAUUUUUGGUAGCAAAUAUUAUGUGCUUUGGUAUUUUUUUUUAACUUUACCUGAUGUAAUAAUAAACUUCUUUCAUUCAGUGAGCUUAGAAAGAUAGACUGAGAGAUAGCUUCAGCCAGUGAUGGCCUUUCUUUGGAGAUUUGUUUUAAUAAUUACCUAGGCUUUGUUGUCUAUGUUGCCCUGUUAACAUUCCUUGAUGCUAGAAGUGAUUUCCGUCACAAGCCUUUAUCCUCAUAACUUUACUUCCCAGAGGCUAAGGACAAGCUCUGUGCCUGACUACAUUAUGAAACACUUGAGUUUGUCUGACCCAUCCCUCCACUGGCUGCACCACCCAGGACACCAUGAAAAUUAAGAUGCCACUGACUGGAGGUCAGCAGUAAUCCACUGGUUCAGAUGAACUUAACCAACAUGGAACCUCAAAGUCCAGGCUGUGGAAGGUCAUCUCUGAACCUCCUUGAAGUAAGUUUUCGACCAGGUUGUUACUUAUCUUAGUGCUGGUCUUUGAGAUUCACUGGAUUUAAAAAAACCUGAUGCUUGUAGAAGCAUGGAGGACUUCACUGGAUAAGGGUGAUCAUUACCAGGUUCUAUUUUCUUUUCUGUUUAUGAGGACCUCUUUUUCCUUGGUUGCUAUUUUAUGCUCAGUGUCUUGGGAGAAAUACUUCUUAGAAAUUGUUUCUAUUUUAUUUAAUAGCAGUCUAGCUAAACCUAAAGAGGGAGUUGAAUGGGAAUGAGAUGAAA